This 500-nucleotide ribosomal RNA is filed under the name Pseudoalteromonas sp. ZXM044. RNAcentral's name for it is "bacterial SSU rRNA". It matches the Rfam family "Bacterial small subunit ribosomal RNA", at positions 79 to 582 of the family's 1533-position model. The record is from RNAcentral. Lineage: Bacteria; Pseudomonadati; Pseudomonadota; Gammaproteobacteria; Alteromonadales; Pseudoalteromonadaceae.
GCUAGAAGAUGACGAGCGGCGGACGGGUGAGUAAUGCUUGGGAACAUGCCUUUAGGUGGGGGACAACCUUUGGAAACGAUGGCUAAUACCGCAUAAUGUCUACGGACCAAAGGGGGCUUCGGCUCUCGCCUUUAGAUUGGCCCAAGUGGGAUUAGCUAGUUGGUGAGGUAAUGGCUCACCAAGGCGACGAUCCCUAGCUGGUUUGAGAGGAUGAUCAGCCACACUGGAACUGAGACACGGUCCAGACUCCUACGGGAGGCAGCAGUGGGGAAUAUUGCACAAUGGGCGCAAGCCUGAUGCAGCCAUGCCGCGUGUGUGAAGAAGGCCUUCGGGUUGUAAAGCACUUUCAGUUGUGAGGAAAGGUUAGUAGUUAAUACCUGCUAGCUGUGACGUUACCUACAGAAGAAGCACCGGCUAACUCCGUGCCAGCAGCCGCGGUAAUACGGAGGGUGCGAGCGUUAAUCGGAAUUACUGGGCGUAAAGCGUACGCAGGCGGUUUG